UACGGGGGGGGCAAGCGUUGUUCGGAAUUACUGGGCGUAAAGGGCUCGUAGGCGGCCAACUAAGUCAGACGUGAAAUCCCUCGGCUUAACCGAGGAACUGCGUCUGAUACUGGAUGGCUUGAAUCCGGGAGAGGGAUGUGGAAUUCCAGGUGUAGCGGUGAAAUGCGUAGAUAUCUGGAGGAACACCGGUGGCGAAGGCGGCAUCCUGGACCGGCAUUGACGCUGAGGAGCGAAAGCCAGGGGAGCGAACAGG
This 253-nucleotide ribosomal RNA is filed under the name uncultured bacterium. RNAcentral's name for it is "partial 16S ribosomal RNA". It matches the Rfam family "Bacterial small subunit ribosomal RNA", at positions 524 to 776 of the family's 1533-position model. The record is from RNAcentral.